Molecule: ribosomal RNA, 478 nt
Filed under: uncultured bacterium
Lineage: Bacteria
Description: bacterial SSU rRNA
Rfam family: Bacterial small subunit ribosomal RNA
Source: RNAcentral
GACGAACGCUGGCGGCGCGCUUAAUACAUGCAAGUCGAACGAGAAGCCAGAGCUUGCUCUGGUGGAAAGUGGCGAACGGGUGAGUAACACGUGAGAAACCUGCCCAAAGAUUGGGAUAAGCCUUGGAAACGAGGUCUAAUACCAAAUACCUUCCUUUUAACACAUGUUAAAAAGAAGAAAUGCUCCGGCGCUUUGGGAUGGUCUCGCGAUCUAUCAGCUUGUUGGUGAGGUAACGGCUCACCAAGGCAUCGACGGAUAGCUGGUCUGAGAGGAUGUCCAGCCACAUUGGAACUGAGACACGGUCCAAACUCCUACGGGAGGCAGCAGUAGGGAAUCUUGCACAAUGAGGGAAACCUUGAUGCAGCGACGCCGCGUGCGGGACGAAGGCCCUAGGGUUGUAAACCGCUCUCAGUAGGGACGAAAGUGACGGUACCUACAGAAGAAGCCCCGGCCAACUAUGUGCCAGCAGCCGCGGUAA